CCUACGGGGGGCAGCAGUCGGGAAUAUUGCACAAUGGAGGAAACUCUGAUGCAGUGACGCCGCGUGCAGGAAGAAGGUUUUCGGAUUGUAAACUGCUUUAGACAGGGAAGAAACAAGACAGUACCUGUAGAAUAAGCUCCGGCUAACUACGUGCCAGCAGCCGCGGUAAUACGUAGGGAGCAAGCGUUAUCCGGAUUUAUUGGGUGUAAAGGGUGCGUAGACGGGUAUAUAAGUUAGUUGUGAAAUCCCUCGGCUCAACUGAGGAACUGCAACUAAAACUGUAAAUCUUGAGUGCGGGAGAGGAA
RNAcentral lists this ribosomal RNA (305 nucleotides) under uncultured bacterium. RNAcentral describes it as "bacterial SSU rRNA". It matches the Rfam family "Bacterial small subunit ribosomal RNA", at positions 338 to 659 of the family's 1533-position model. The record is from RNAcentral.